AUGUCUGGGAAACUGCCUGAUGGAGGGGGAUAACUACUGGAAACGGUAGCUAAUACCGCAUAACGUCGCAAGACCAAAGAGGGGGACCUUCGGGCCUCUUGCCAUCAGAUGUGCCCAGAUGGGAUUAGCUAGUAGGUGGGGUAACGGCUCACCUAGGCGACGAUCCCUAGCUGGUCUGAGAGGAUGACCAGCCACACUGGAACUGAGACACGGUCCAGACUCCUACGGGAGGCAGCAGUGGGGAAUAUUGCACAAUGGGCGCAAGCCUGAUGCAGCCAUGCCGCGUGUAUGAAGAAGGCCUUCGGGUUGUAAAGUACUUUCAGCGGGGAGGAAGGCGAUAAGGUUAAUAACCUUGUCGAUUGACGUUACCCGCAGAAGAAGCACCGGCUAACUCCGUGCCAGCAGCCGCGGUAAUACGGAGGGUGCAAGCGUUAAUCGGAAUUACUGGGCGUAAAGCGCACGCAGGCGGUCUGUCAAGUCGGAUGUGAAAUCCCCGGGCUCAACCUGGGAACUGCAUUCGAAACUGGCAGGCUAGAGUCUUGUAGAGGGGGGUAGAAUUCCAGGUGUAGCGGUGAAAUGCGUAGAGAUCUGGAGGAAUACCGGUGGCGAAGGCGGCCCCCUGGACAAAGACUGACGCUCA
Molecule: ribosomal RNA, 640 nt
Filed under: uncultured bacterium
Lineage: Bacteria
Description: bacterial SSU rRNA
Rfam family: Bacterial small subunit ribosomal RNA
Source: RNAcentral